GCGCGUCGAAGACAGCAGCGCCCACCAGCAGAUGCAGAGAACCCAAAGCCCUGCAGGAUGGCAAAGCUGCAACAUGGAAGUCACCUGGAUCACCAUGUAAAGGAAAUCUGCUCUCUAACCAGGAACAAACACCUGCCUUGCAAUAUUAGGAGGCCACCAGACUUUCUCUGCUUGUAUCCUCCCAGGACCACGGAACUCAUCACAUCCCAAGGCAGUCUAUUCCAUCAUGGACGAGCUCAAAGUGUUUGAAAGUUCUGCUUUAUCAAGUGAGCCAAACUUCCUCCCUCGGGACCAUCCACUCCAGGUCCCAGUUAUUCUAUUGGAGGAGCGAGGGUAAAGCCAUCACCAGGACAACCUUGGUGACAGGCUGGACUGGCAGCCAGCUUUUGAGGAUGACUUCAGGGAACCCUAAAGUCAAAUGUAUUACUCCUCUGAUGCCUACAA
Molecule: non-coding RNA, 444 nt
Filed under: Pongo abelii (Sumatran orangutan)
Lineage: Eukaryota; Metazoa; Chordata; Mammalia; Primates; Hominidae
Source: RNAcentral